CUUGGUGUCUUCGUCGAGGUCGAGACACAGCAUCCCUUUCCGAACUGCGUGGUGAAAGGCCUUUGAGAUAACGAUAGGAUACGGGUAGCUGUAUCUGAAAACAUAUCGAUGCCAAGA
Ribosomal RNA from Micromonas pusilla CCMP1545, 117 nucleotides. NCBI's taxonomy places the organism in Eukaryota, Viridiplantae, Chlorophyta, Mamiellophyceae, Mamiellales, Mamiellaceae. The record is from Rfam.